UCCUGGGCUGGGGACAGGGAGAGGAAGAAGAGAAAGAUCCGCCAUGCUGGAAAAAGGAGAACUAAGAUGCCACACCCGAGAAGCUCAGGACAGAGAACAUAGCCGCCAUAUUGGAGUAAGGGGAUCCCAGCCCAAGAUGGUCUGGGUAUAGGGCAGCAAAGAUGGAAAACAGUUAGGGACUCCAUCCAAUAAAGGCAAAUAAAGAGAGCCUGAAAGUAUAGCUUGGCACCUACGCAGCAAGCCACUCCUGUCUACAGUGCUCAUGAACCUUCCAGAAUCAUGGAGAAGACCUGCCGUGCAUGGCCCUUAUUGCAAACUGAAAGUGUUUCGAGGCCCAAGGUGGAAAGAAAAAAAAAAGAAGAAAGCAAACCUGGGAAACACAGAAUUCAUUCAGCCCCUUGUAGUCCCGCACUUUGGUCACAGAGGAAACAUCCCCUGACAGCCUGGUGUUCGAAUCUAAUGUGGUCAAAGCAAACUAUGGAGCCGGACCUAUGCAAAUCUCUACAGAAACUCGAGGUUUGCUUCUGCCACAUCUGGGUCUCCCGAGGUCGGAGAGGAUCGUCUUUAAUAUUCCUUGGUAGAUUCCAGGAUCCUACAAGCCACAACCUCUUCGCCGUAUUUCCCAGGAGCAGCCCCCAUCCAUGGUUUGGAGGACUCGACCCUAUGGAGCGCCCUGGCCUGGAGGUGUGCAGGUUAGAAGGAACCCCAGCUGUGGCACCUCACUAUCCUUCUCUUUCCCGACCCGUUCAAAAAUAAAAAAAUAAACCCCAA
RNAcentral lists this long non-coding RNA (771 nucleotides) under Mus musculus (house mouse). RNAcentral's name for it is "predicted gene, 56850". The record is from RNAcentral. Lineage: Eukaryota; Metazoa; Chordata; Mammalia; Rodentia; Muridae.